This 276-nucleotide ribosomal RNA is filed under the name uncultured bacterium. RNAcentral's name for it is "partial 16S ribosomal RNA". It matches the Rfam family "Bacterial small subunit ribosomal RNA", at positions 28 to 303 of the family's 1533-position model. The record is from RNAcentral.
GAUGAACGCUAGCGGCAGGCCUAAUACAUGCAAGCCGAACGGUAAUUUUGGUAGCAAUACUAAGACUAGAGUGGCGUAAGGGUGCGUAACACGUAUGCAAUCUACCCGCAACAGGAGGAUAGCUCCCCGAAAGGGGAAUUAACCCUCCAUGAGAUCACGGUCAGGCAUCUGAGAGUGAUUAAAUCUGAGGAGGUUGUGGAUGAGCAUGCGUCGAUUAGCUAGUUGGUAGGGUAAAGCCUACCAAGGCGACGAUCCGUAGCUGGUCUGAGAGGAUGA